Molecule: antisense RNA, 69 nt
Filed under: Umezawaea tangerina
Lineage: Bacteria; Bacillati; Actinomycetota; Actinomycetes; Pseudonocardiales; Pseudonocardiaceae
Description: ASpks TB sRNA
Rfam family: ASpks TB sRNA
Source: Rfam by way of RNAcentral
CUUGAGCGAGCCCAGCCACAGCGGGUCCUCGCGGUCCUGGCCGUAGGUGGCCAGCAGGGCCUGCGCCUC